GAUGAACGCUAGCUACAGGCUUAACACAUGCAAGUCGUGGGGCAUCAUGAUGUAGUAAUACAUUGAUGGCGACCGGCGCACGGGUGAGUAACGGUAUCCAACCUACCCUCCACUCAAGUAUAGGCUUCCGAAAGGGAGAUUAAUCCUUGAUAUCGUCAUUCUCUCUCCUGUUAGAAUGAUAAAAGGACAUCGUUUCGGUAGAGGAUGGGGAUGCGUUCCAUUAGGUAGUAGGCGGUUUAACAGGCCACCUAGCCGAUGAUGGAUAGGGGUUCUGAGAGGAAUAUCCCCCACACUGGUACUGAGAUACGGACCAGACUCCUACGGGAGGCAGCAGUGAGGAAUAUUGGUCAAUGGGCGCAAGCCUGAACCAGCCAUGUAGCGUGAAGGAUGACGGUUUUUUUGAUUGUAAAC
RNAcentral lists this ribosomal RNA (411 nucleotides) under Bacteroidetes bacterium oral taxon 272. RNAcentral's name for it is "bacterial SSU rRNA". It matches the Rfam family "Bacterial small subunit ribosomal RNA", at positions 28 to 430 of the family's 1533-position model. Lineage: Bacteria; Pseudomonadati; Bacteroidota. The record is from RNAcentral.